UGUUCCAGUAGGGUUUGUACUGGCCUAUUUUAUUUCCUCCAACAAUGGGGUUCUUAAAUCUUACUUUUGGUUCUCCGGAUUCAGAUUUUCAAUGAGUUACAUUUAAAAAAAAAAAACGAAAAAAAAAGAUGCACUCUGACAUUGGGAUUCAUUCACAUUUAUGCUUUUUAAGCUAGAUAAGUGGAAAUGUUAAAAUUUAGCUGGAAUUUAAACGAUGGAAUUUAAACUUUUGGGGUAAGUUGUUUUGAACAAGUCCGCAACAGGCUCGCAGUUCCCCUGUGUGAAACCUCCUGGUCGCCCUCCAAGCUAGCCCACACCUCCUCCUAUAGAGGUAGAUUCAUCUCUCUCUAUUUUCCUCUCUCACGCACUCUAUCCAUCAUUCUUCAUUCUCUCCCUAAAUCACACCGUCAAUUUCUUUGGGGUUUUUUCAAUUUCUCUGAGAGCAAAUUCAAAUUUCUAGAGUAAUGCCCUUCUCUUCAACUUCCAAUUUCAAUUGUGGGGCUGUUUUCAUCAGAAAAAUUUAUGAAAUUCAGUGCACAUACACUCUGAAAAUGAUACAUUAAGAUGAAUAAGGUGCAAUUAUGUGUUGAGGUUCAAAUGUCAGUGAGAUGUUGCUGAUUUUGGAUCCAAUACUAAGGUCUUGGCCAAACCUGACGGAACCUUGAGCAUAUACAUGUAAAGAUACUGUGUUCUUUCCUCUUUGCAUAUCUCUAGUUUUUUCUUUAAAUUCUUUGCUAGUGUUAGGUUAAAUAUUUAACCUCCUAAAUGUUAAAUGUGUUAGUUUCUAUCUCCUUGUUACAUCACAUUUUUGGGUUUUUUUUUCCCCUUUGUCCCUUCAUGUUUUUUUCCCAUAGUGGUAGUGCUUUUUUUUGUCCCUUGUCCCUUCAUGGUUUUUUCCCAUAGUGGUAGUGCUUGUGCGUUCUUGACUGAUUUUGUUUUCAGUUUUAAUAUUAAUUAUACUUUAUACACCCAGAAGACCUCAGACCUUAUUUUGCCAUGACCCUCAUCAAGAUCUAUGUAAACUAAUAUGAUACUUUAUACUUUUUUAACUUGUAAGUGUUAACAGUGAAAUGAGCACAGGAUGUUCUGAUCUGAAACUUAAUCUUGAUAUAAUGUCUCCAUAAAACCUUCAUUAUUACCUUUUCUUGACAAAUAAAAAUUCAUUUUUAUUCUACAUUCAUCGCAAAGUUGACUAGAUAAAAUCAGAUGGAUGACUAUUUAUUGCCAUACACGCUUGAGGCACACCUAUUUACUUGUGAUUAAGGCCGUUGCUCUAUACAUGAGCCAUGGCACUUUGAUAUUGAGACACGAAUUGUUUCUUGCCCUUCCGUGUGAGUUAACUCCAAUCAUGACGCAAUGCCCUGCGGUCAGAUUUCCGUCCGUUGGGAAGCCAGCCUAAUCUGCAUGUAUGCUUCGACAGAGAAAUGAAUAUGAUGUGGACUUAGGGACAAUACCCUCAAUCAUCCAUUUCCAUUUCCAUUUCCUUUGGUUGUGUUUUUCUUCUUUUAUUACUAGAGCACAGUGGUGGUUGAGAUUUUUCUACAACACUAUGAACCAACAAUAUACAACUUCUGAAACAUCCAAACUUUUGUGUUUGGCAUAAAAAUCAUGGUACUUCAUUUUGGUACAUUUGUUAUCCAUUACAUUUGUAUUGAGAACCUGAGGUGAAUAGUGUCAAUGUUUAGGUUUCUUGUGUGGGACUUUUGCUUGUCUUCAGUCCUCAAGCUAAGUUUGUGAGGGUCAUAUAGUUUGGGUUCGAAAUAAUUGUGGUAGCAUUAUUAGCUUUGAGUAUUUCUUGGUGGGGAAGAUCUAUUUCUUGCAUUUAUGUGCAUUUUGCAGUACUUAGUACCGAAGAAAUAUAUAAAAAUGCAGAUAUUAAACAAUUCAAGUAUAUCUAAGUUGCAAAAAUUUAUCAAGUUAUAUUUCUUAAGGUUUAGUUCUGAUUUAAUUAUAGCUCUUUUGGCAUAACUUCAUAAUCAAGUUCUCUGAGUAAAAGUUUAAACGUUUUUGACAGUUUAAGCUUGCUUAGGAUAAAGAGAGUAUAGCCAAGAUUUGCAUAAUUAAUGCAUGCACCCCACAUGCUCCUUUUAUCAACGUGAGGAUAUGAUCGAUUGGCUGCCACUGACUUGCAUAUUACCACUUUACUAGCAUGUGUCGUUAUACAAGUGUUAUAGGUUGGUUGAGUUUUCUCGUUUAAGAGGUUGUCAAUUGCUUUAUAUCUGUUUAAUGGAGUGGGACAAUAGAGUCGUUCGUCUGUUCUUGUCUUCCUUAGCUAUAGGCCUAUAGCGUUAAAUAGUUCUUGUGCUGAUUUGUGAUACAAUUACCAAGAAUGAACAUAAAAUUACUUUUAACUUUAAUCUCAACUAUAGCAACGUUUGGUCGUUGACUUAGAUCCAUCAAGUUCACAUCUACAAUGACUAACCAACGGAGAGACACAACUGACCUCGAAAGAAUUAAGAGGAUGGUGGUAAUUUAUGCUGUAUAUGUGACCAGUUUAAGUGCAGUUGCCACAGUUCUAGCUACUGCUUUUCAUAGAAACAGGGGUUGCAAUCGAAAAGCAUUAGGCGCUAACUUCCAUUUCUUCAUAAUCCAUACGGAUGAAGUGAGUUGUCGUAACCAAAUAAGAAUGAGUCGAGCUACCUACUUGCAACUUAGGGAUGCUAUUGGUUAUCUCUAGAUGAACAAUUGGUUACAUUCUUGCACACAAUUAGUCACAACUUGAAGAAUGGCAAGAUAGGUCAUGAAUUUGGGUGCUCAGGGGAGACUGUCAGCCGACACUUCAAUCGCGUGCUGAAUGCAAUUCUAAGACUCCACCGUGAUUACAUCCACUGCCCACAAUUGGCUACACAAUCAGAAAUAAGUGGAGAUGAGAGGUUUUGAGAAUACUUCAAGGACUGUAUUGGGGCCAUUGACGGCACCCACAUCCCCGCUCUUAUUAGUCAUUAUCUUCAAGGUAAAUAUCGGAAUCACAAGGGCAUCACAUCACAAAAUGUUAUGGGUGUUUGUUCCUUCAAUUGAAAAUUCCAAUAUGUCCUUGAGGGCUAGGAAGGUUCGGCAUCGAAUUCUUAUUCUUCAAUAUUCACUCACAUGUGCGUACCCUCUUCCUGUGCCCCCUGGAAAAUAUUACUUAGUCGAUUCUGGCUACCCAAAUAUUCAAGAAUUUCUCUCUUCGUACCGCCAUACACGUUACCAUAGGAAUGAUUUCAAUCAUGGUAGUCAGAAUCCUCAAGACUAAUAAGGAAUUUUUCAACAAAACACAUGCUUCACUUCGAAAUGCCAUUGAACGUGCCUUUGGUGUCCUCGAAGCAUGGUUCCCUUGAAGGUUGCCACCAAUUAUCCAAUUAGGACCCAAGUGAACAUAGUCAUUGCUGUUUAUGUUGCAUAAUUUCAACAUGGAAGUUGAUGGUGAAGUACAAGAAAUUGGAGGAAUUGUCGAUGUGGAAGGACGUGAUGAGGACGAGACUUCCUCAAUCAGAGACAUUUAGGAGGAGUCAGAGGGAGAUGGGUGAUUGGGCAAAAUUUCGAGAUGAAAUGGCAAUGAAAAUGUGGAGGGAUCAUCUUGGCAUUGCUUAGUUUUCUUCUUGUUAGUCAACUGUUGUUUUAAUAUUGGAUUUUUAGUUUGUUAAGUACUAUGUAUGUCAUGUUGAGUUCGUGUUUUGAUGUAGUCAUGUGUUGGAUUUGUUCUUAUGACCAUGAAAUAUUGCUUUCCAAAUAGCUGUAUUGCUGUAGUGUCUUGGAACAUCUUCUAGGUUGUCUGAGUGUCAUUUUUAUCUUGCUGCGAUUGGGUGCAAAUGCAUGAGAGAGAGAGAGAGAGAGAGAGAG
Amborella trichopoda is the source of this 3822-nucleotide non-coding RNA. Lineage: Eukaryota; Viridiplantae; Streptophyta; Magnoliopsida; Amborellales; Amborellaceae. The record is from RefSeq and is a predicted model, not a curated record.